GAAACCGUGAGGUCAAGCAAAUCCCAUAAAGUUGUUCUCAGUUCGGAUUGUAGUCUGCAACUCGACUACAUGAAGCUGGAAUCGCUAGUAAUCGUAGAUCAGCAUGCUACGGUGAAUACGUUCCCGGGUCUUGUACACACCGCCCGUCACACCACGAGAGUUUGUAACACCCGAAGCCGGUGGAGUAACCUUUUAGGAGCUAGCCGUCGAAGGUGGGACAAAUGAUUGGGGUGAAGUCGUAACAAGGUAGCCGUAUCGGAAGGUGCGGCUGGAUCACCUCCUUU
Molecule: ribosomal RNA, 284 nt
Filed under: Staphylococcus aureus
Lineage: Bacteria; Bacillati; Bacillota; Bacilli; Caryophanales; Staphylococcaceae
Description: partial 16S ribosomal RNA
Rfam family: Bacterial small subunit ribosomal RNA
Source: RNAcentral